Molecule: small RNA, 28 nt
Filed under: Bombyx mori (domestic silkworm)
Lineage: Eukaryota; Metazoa; Arthropoda; Insecta; Lepidoptera; Bombycidae
Description: ovarian small RNA-22312
Source: RNAcentral
UAGCAUUCUCGCUUGCGACGAUGUGCGU